CACGUAGGGCGCGAGCGUUGUCCGGAAUUAUUGGGCGUAAAGAGCUCGUAGGCGGCCUGUUGCGUCCGCUGUGAAAGCCCGGGGCUUAACCCCGGGUCGGCAGUGGAUACGGGCAGGCUAGAGGUAGGUAGGGGAGAAUGGAAUUCCCGGUGUAGCGGUGAAAUGCGCAGAUAUCGGGAGGACACCGGUGGCGAAGGCGGUUCUCUGGGCCUUACCUGACGCUGAGGAGCGAAAGCGUGGGGAGCGAACAGG
This 252-nucleotide ribosomal RNA is filed under the name uncultured bacterium. Its description in RNAcentral is "partial 16S ribosomal RNA". It matches the Rfam family "Bacterial small subunit ribosomal RNA", at positions 524 to 776 of the family's 1533-position model. The record is from RNAcentral.